UACAGAGGUCCCGAGCGUUGUUCGGAUUCAUUGGGCGUAAAGGGUGUGUAGGAGGUCUUGUAAGUCGGGCGUGAAAUCUCACCGCUUAACGGUGAAACUGCGUUCGAUACUGCUUGGCUAGAGGAUCGGAGGGGGUAUCGGAAUUCAUGGUGUAGCAGUGAAAUGCGUAGAUAUCAUGAGGAACACCGGUGGCAAAAGCGGAUACCUGGAAGAUUCCUGACUCUGAAACACGAAAGCUAGGGGAGCAAACGGG
RNAcentral lists this ribosomal RNA (253 nucleotides) under uncultured bacterium. RNAcentral's name for it is "partial 16S ribosomal RNA". It matches the Rfam family "Bacterial small subunit ribosomal RNA", at positions 524 to 776 of the family's 1533-position model. The record is from RNAcentral.